GCAAGAUUACAAUCGCAGUUAAGCAGGAGGCUGUGAAAAUCACUUCAUCCAGAUGACUUCUUAGCCCUUUAUAAUUGUAAUUACCUUGUUGCAGUGCUCUUUCUGGUUGACAUCUGGUGGGCAGCUCUUCUGCUAGUAAUAAUCUGAUCUUCAUUAUUCUUGCCAUGAUUCUGGACACACAUUUGAGUGAUAAAAAAUGAACUGGGUUA
This 209-nucleotide unclassified non-coding RNA is filed under the name Hevea brasiliensis (rubber tree). Lineage: Eukaryota; Viridiplantae; Streptophyta; Magnoliopsida; Malpighiales; Euphorbiaceae. The record is from RNAcentral.